RNAcentral lists this ribosomal RNA (669 nucleotides) under Bacillus sp. FJAT-4547. RNAcentral describes it as "bacterial SSU rRNA". It matches the Rfam family "Bacterial small subunit ribosomal RNA", at positions 70 to 723 of the family's 1533-position model. The record is from RNAcentral. Lineage: Bacteria; Bacillati; Bacillota; Bacilli; Caryophanales; Bacillaceae.
GAUUAGAAGCUUGCUUCUAUGACGUUAGCGGCGGACGGGUGAGUAACACGUGGGCAACCUGCCUGUAAGACUGGGAUAACUUCGGGAAACCGAAGCUAAUACCGGAUAGGAUCUUCUCCUUCAUGGGAGAUGAUUGAAAGAUGGUUUCGGCUAUCACUUACAGAUGGGCCCGCGGUGCAUUAGCUAGUUGGUGAGGUAACGGCUCACCAAGGCAACGAUGCAUAGCCGACCUGAGAGGGUGAUCGGCCACACUGGGACUGAGACACGGCCCAGACUCCUACGGGAGGCAGCAGUAGGGAAUCUUCCGCAAUGGACGAAAGUCUGACGGAGCAACGCCGCGUGAGUGAUGAAGGCUUUCGGGUCGUAAAACUCUGUUGUUAGGGAAGAACAAGUACGAGAGUAACUGCUCGUACCUUGACGGUACCUAACCAGAAAGCCACGGCUAACUACGUGCCAGCAGCCGCGGUAAUACGUAGGUGGCAAGCGUUAUCCGGAAUUAUUGGGCGUAAAGCGCGCGCAGGCGGUUUCUUAAGUCUGAUGUGAAAGCCCACGGCUCAACCGUGGAGGGUCAUUGGAAACUGGGGAACUUGAGUGCAGAAGAGAAAAGCGGAAUUCCACGUGUAGCGGUGAAAUGCGUAGAGAUGUGGAGGAACACCAGUGGCGAAGGCG